Molecule: ribosomal RNA, 466 nt
Filed under: uncultured bacterium
Lineage: Bacteria
Description: partial 16S ribosomal RNA
Rfam family: Bacterial small subunit ribosomal RNA
Source: RNAcentral
GACGAACGCUGGCGGCGCGCCUAACACAUGCAAGUCGAACGAGCGAGAGAGAGCUUGCUUUCUCGAGCGAGUGGCGAACGGGUGAGUAACGCGUGAGGAACCUGCCUCAAAGAGGGGGACAACAGUUGGAAACGACUGCUAAUACCGCAUAAGCCCACGGUGCCGCAUGGCACAGAGGGAAAAGGAGCAAUCCGCUUUGAGAUGGCCUCGCGUCCGAUUAGCUAGUUGGUGAGGUAAUGGCCCACCAAGGCGACGAUCGGUAGCCGGACUGAGAGGUUGAACGGCCACAUUGGGACUGAGACAUGGCCCAGACUCCUACGGGAGGCAGCAGUGGGGAAUAUUGCACAAUGGGGGAAACCCUGAUGCAGCGACGCCGCGUGGAGGAAGAAGGUCUUCGGAUUGUAAACUCCUGUUGUUGGGGAAGAUAAUGACGGUACCCAACAAGGAAGUGACGGCUAACUACGUA